AAAAAUGAAGAUGAAAGCAACUGACUGUGACAAUCUGCUGUGUCCACAAUCUAAGUGUAUUUUUCUUUCUUUUCUCUUUUCCUUCUGGGGUUUCCAGUUUACCGUGGUUUCUGGGCAGUCCUGAUGCUCCUGGGGGUAGUUGCUGUAGUCAUCGCGAGCUUUUUGAUCAUCUGUGCAGCCCCCUUCGCCAGCCAUUUUCUCUACAAAGCUGGGGGAGGCUCAUAUAUUGCUGCAGGCAUCCUAUUUUCAUUGGUGGUGAUGCUGUAUGUCAUCUGGGUCCAGGCAGUGGCUGACAUGGAAAGCUACCGAAACAUGAAAAUGAAGGACUGCCUGGAUUUCACCCCUUCUGUUCUGUAUGGCUGGUCAUUUUUCCUGGCCCCAGCUGGGAUAUUUUUUUCUUUGCUAGCUGGAUUACUAUUUCUAGUUGUUGGACGGCAUAUUCAGAUACAUCACUAAAUCAACUGUUGCCACAAGUAUUUUCUUGAGAAUACUUUUUUUCCAUUUUGUUUCAUUGAUCCCAGCAUAAAGUUAGUAGAUAUAACUUUUUAGUUGCUAUUCAAAUUAAUCAUUUUACUAAAAUUUUCUUCAAUAAGAAGGUCCUAGAAUCUCUCCAGACACCAACAAGCCUCCAUCUUGUCUAAGUGUUGUCAAGGACCUAGUUCUUUAGGGAAUAGGUAAACAGGUCUCCCUUUCAUUGAACAUGUGAGAGUUCAUGCAGGUUGCAAAGGCCUGAUAAUAGCUUAAUACCAUGACAUGGAGAAAAUCUUGAUAGAUUUGGCUUAAAGUCUCCUUGGCAUUCACUUCUGCUAAUUAAAAAAAAUCCUUGAAGAAUAAUUAAGAAUGGGCAAGGUUGUCAGAGAAUUUAUUUUGUUUCUUCCCCACACAGAUAAUAUCCCCAUACACAUUCACUGGCUCUUGUGAGCAAAUGAAUUUAAAAAUAGACAGCAGUUGUUCUAAUUAGUGGGAGCCAUGUACUCACCAGUUAAAACGGGCCACAACAAACAAGACUGAGAGCGUGUACUUAUCUUGCUUUUUCACCAACAGUGGUUUGGUUACCUAGUUUUAUUCACUUAAUUGUGCAUACUUACAUAAACUUUAAACUACAUUUAAAGCUAGCAAAUCUGCAUACCAAAUUAUGUAUAAUGUAGAUUGAAUUUUUAUGAACUUAAAGUGAGUUAAUUGUAUAUGUAAUAUUGUUUAAAAUAUGUAAAAACCAAGCAUUUCAGCUUGGUCCAUAAUUCUAUUUGAUAUUUUUAAAUUCUCAUUUAAAAAUUAUACUGCUAUCGUUCAGCAUGUGAAAAUUUAUUGAUAAAAUGUGAUUUUAAUAUUCUUUAGCUAUAAACUUUCAAUAUACUUCCAUAUGAGGAUUAUAAUAGCCCUGCUUUAUUAAAGACCAUAAAAUAUUAACUUUCCCCAAGAUGUUAUGGGUUCCAGUUCUUCUGAUCAUUUGAUUCCUUUAAUUACUGUCCCUCAAUUUCUUCAUCUUUACAAUAGGUAUAUUAACAUUUACAGAUCGACUAUUUCCUUUAACCUCCUAGAAGAAAGUUUUUGUGGGGAAAGAUAAUUCUGUAUUAUUCAGUAGCAUAGACAUUUUGCAUAUCAAAGAUGUUCAUUUGGCACUAAUGUUGAUUGAAAUCAAAUCCAUCUGAGAUGCCUAGCUCGUAUUUGCAUUCUGGAAGCCUCCAUCGCAGGGGAGCUCGGCAGGGUAUGUGAGCUUUGUUGGAGGUGCGGUGUUUCAUUCUGCAGCUGUUGUGAGGACAGAGAGGCAUGGCUGACAGGCAAAAAAA
Molecule: small RNA, 1787 nt
Filed under: Pongo abelii (Sumatran orangutan)
Lineage: Eukaryota; Metazoa; Chordata; Mammalia; Primates; Hominidae
Description: retained intron
Source: RNAcentral